Molecule: ribosomal RNA, 349 nt
Filed under: uncultured bacterium
Lineage: Bacteria
Description: partial 16S ribosomal RNA
Rfam family: Bacterial small subunit ribosomal RNA
Source: RNAcentral
CCUACGGGUGGCUGCAGUCGAGAAUCAUUCACAAUGGGGGAAACCCUGAUGGGGCGACGCCGCGUGGGGGAAGGAAGGUCUGCGGAUGGUAAACCCCUGUCAUGGGGGAGCAAAGUAAAAAGAUAGUACCACAAGAGGAAGAGACGGCUAACGCUGUGCCAGCAGCCGCGGUAAUACAGAGGUCUCAAGCGUUGUUCGGAACCACGGGGCGUAAUGCGUGCGUAGGCUGUUUCGUACGUCGUGGGUGAAAGGCGCGGGCUCAACCCGCGGACGGCACCGGAUACUGCGAGACUAGGGUACUGGAGUGUGAACCUGAAUUCUCGGUGUAGCCGUGCACUGCGUCGAUAUC